CCUAGAUUCCCCGAGCGCCGCCACCCCCAAGCCCCCUCUGCUUCUCCUUCUUCUGCGGCGCCGCCGCCGCCGCCGGCCCACCGCCGCCUGCCAGACGCCGCCCUCCUUCCUUAUCCGGUCCUCCCUCACCGGAUCUGUGCCCUGGAGCCGAUCCGCACUGCCCGCUCACAGACACGAAACGGGCCUAGCCCUAGCUGCGCCCUUGCGUCUCCUUCCCUUAGCGCCGCCACCUCGCUUCACAUCCGGCAACGGCAGGCACAAAUCCUCCAUGCGGCCGCCGGUGAUGGAAUCAUCCACGCGCGCACUUCCAGGAUCUUACGCGUGCGCCGCCAUGGGUAUGGGCUCCUGUGCCUCGAAGGGAGGCUACCAGCCGCCGUAGACUCCUCCGAGCAGGAUGGAUCCAAGGAGGGACGAAUCCAUGGAGGUCCAGAUGCGGCGUCACCUCCUCGCACUGACGGUGAUGGUGAUCAUCCGGAUGCUAUGUCAGGAAUAUAAUGAGGCCCUCAAUCGCACACUCUGGAGGAACUAGAUAUGUAUGUUUACCUAUUCCCUCCGUCCUUUGAUGGUUUAGAUUAGACUUUCAGUACUGAAACAUUGAUUGAGACUUUCGAAUUUUGAUUCUUAUGCAUUGGGGUCAGGUUAUCUAUUAUUUAUGUGGGAUGUGAUAUCUACUUUCUUAUGUGGGAUUGCUACUUUGCUAGGGCAUCUGGCUAUUAGAUAAAAUGUGAUACUGCCUUCUAUGUUUUGUGAAUACAGUUUGGAACUCUUAAACCAUGUUAGCUACUCUUUAGUACACAUGUUUCUUGCUAAAAAGGUAAUGGGAGCUAGCACUUUUUGAACUAAAUAUGUUGGUGAUUAAUCCCCUUUUACUUUGAUCUCGAUGACUGUCUAAGCUGGCCUGUACUCUGUUUCUUCUAAUUAGUAUUCUUAUGUAGCAAGCCUAGUACCAGGGAGUUGUCUGCUUGCGUGAACUGUAGUAGUAUGAGGAAGGCCUAUUGCUACCCAUAAUAAAAGUAGUUUGUGAAACUGCUGCAUGUGGCAAUCAAUUGCAAAAGUAUAUACUACUGUUUUUCAUGGAAAAUUUAUUUGGUUGCAGGAAUUGUUGAGACGUUUCCCUAAAACUGUCGAAUUCUUCUCUUAUAUGUUCAUCUUAUUUCAUCCAUAUCUAAUGGUGACAGUUCAAGUGCAUUUCAUUUUCUGAAAUAUUGAAUCACUUUUCUUUCAGGAAAGCGACUUAGCUCAGGAUAUUCAGCCCAUUUCUUCUUCAACUCCGUGUCAUGGAGCCAAAAAGCUGCAGCCAGAAGAAAAGGAGAGGUGCAUGGGCAGUUGAUCCUGAUAAUGGUAACAUGUUGAUUCUGUUGUCCAUCUCAAACAAAAGAGGAGAUUUUGAUGAUGAUGCUUCUACCAUAUGUUCUCGAUGAGUGUUGAGGUGAAUUGAACUCUUAAAGGAUUUUUUUCUGAUUAGUUGAGCUUUCAGUAUUAUUCCUUUGCAUGUUUCAGCAAUGAUAGUUGUGGCGGUAGAGAAUUCUAAGGUAGUGUUGCUUCAUGUGUCUAAAGUCUAAACCUAUGUUUCUUUGAUAUGUCUCUUCUGUGCUUCAUGUGUUCUAUGCAAUUGAGUACUUGUACUAUCUUUGAUUAGCUAUUGAGUUAAUUUUGAAAUUUUUCUGGUUAUUUUGACAGUAUCUUUGAUAUGUCUCUUCUGUGCUUCUGUGGGUCAGUUAUACCCUGACCUACUUUAACUUCUUUUCUGUUUUUUCUUUGACUUCUAAACCUAUGUUUGCAGUGAAUCAAUUUGGCAUCCAUGUGGGUAAGUUAUCACUGAAUGAACGCAUUUGUCCGUUGUACCUUUUACAAUAAAUGGAAAUGUGUAUUACGCUAUUAUCUUUUAACAUAUGUGCUUGUGUCUGAUGUGAUAUAUCAACAAUUAUGUCUAGACUUGACUGCUUGCUGCAAUUCAAUAAAAUGGACAUGUAGCAACAAUUAUGUCUUAGUACGCUAAAAAAAACAAUCACUCCCUCCAUACUCGAAAAGAAUGUCGUUUUGGACAAAGUUUGGGUCAAACAUUGGGAACAUAAAUCAUGAAUAACUUUUAAGUUGUUGAGUUUCAAAAUACAAAAAUCAUAUGAAUAGAUUUGUCUUGAAAAAUACUUUCACAAAAGUAUAAAUAUAUCGCUUUGCAAUAAAUAUUUUUAUAAAAAUAAGCAGUAAAAGUUAAGCUUUGGAGACUGUGUCGCUGUCCAAAACGACAUUCUUUUCGAGUAUGUGGGGAGUAUGUCUUAGACUUGACUGCUUGUUGCAAUUGUCUGAACACUUGAAGUUGUUUUUUGCAGCAUCUAUCUUUUUGGCAAGAAAUAACUGAAGUGUCCAUCCUUGCCUACUUGUAAAAAUCUGAUCCCUAGCUGGCAGUCCUAUUUUUGUAAUUUUAUUGGAGUCAGCCACACAGUCAACAUGACCAGGAACAAAAAUAGAGCUUACAAGCUUUCAGCCUCUUGUGAGAAGCUUUGUUUCAACUUAUUUUUGAUUGGGAUCCAUAAGACAAUCUAGUGUCUUGAUAUUUAUGUAUGUGUGGAAAUUUGUAUGGACAGAGAAUUCAAGCCCUAUUCAAGGGUUAUUUCAUUUUUAUGAACACUGUGUUUAAUAUAUAAUACUUAUGAUGCAAAA
Long non-coding RNA from Panicum virgatum (switchgrass), 2661 nucleotides. RefSeq lists it as uncharacterized. The transcript has 5 exons. The record is from RefSeq and is a predicted model, not a curated record. Lineage: Eukaryota; Viridiplantae; Streptophyta; Magnoliopsida; Poales; Poaceae.